UAUCAAGCGUUAAUAAUGAAACGAGUUCCAUCGAAAUCAGUUAGGAUAAUCGGGAUCUUCUUGAAAAUCUCAAUAAUACAUAUGAAAUCUUGCAUCUUGCAUCACUUCAGGCAUUAAGUCUCGCCCACGCUUCGAGAAAAACGUUAUUGAAAAAAACAAGUUUGAGGAAAACAUAUAUUUCACACAUGUUUUCCUCAAACUAACUUGUGAAUAGAUUAAUUCUCUCUUUUCCAAUACAUUAUUGAACAAGAGUUCAUCGAGGGCAGGAACAACAUUUUGCGGAGCUCUAUAUUGGAUUACAAUUUUCAACGUUAUAAACAGAUAAACAGGAUGCGGUUCUGGCUUUCGAUUCUGCUUGUGAUUGGGGCGCUGAUGAGUAUUGCCACUAUCUCAUCAGCAGCGCCACAGCGACAAUGGCCUCGUCAUGAUGAUGAUGAUGAUGCUGAUUACAACACUUUUAAAAUUAAGCCGAACUGUCCACGAGAACCUUAUAAAGUUAAUGGUGUUUGGAGAUGCAGAUAAUGACAGCAUUAUGAAAAAUACAUCGGAUUCAAAAGUUAAUUUGGAUAGAAAUCGACAAAUAAAUAGAGGUGAAUUUGUGUUAUUGCUGUGUUCAUCAAGAAAUGAAUAAAUAAGAAGACUGAAUUGACUGUGUGUUGCUUUUUCGUAAACAUUUUUGAUUACCAAGUGGAGUGGAUCAAUUUGAAGAAAUCUGUGAUACUUUCCAUUAAUUGAGAGAGAUUUUGCAAACAGUUUUAAGAACAACUCAGUUAUAAAUUUUUUUUUUCAAUAAACCAGUAGGCCUACCUCAAAUUCUGGAUAAAUUUAGUUGGCAGAAUAAAGUUCGUUCAGACAACCAAUUUUUUCAAGAUGACAGGCGAUGAUAGGCUCUGACAGCCUAUCUCAUUCUGUAGGUAGUGUGUCUUGUGAUCGUCUCAAAUGUUUAUACUGUUCAAGAAUAAUAUUUGAUCAAGCAGAUCUGAUUAACAAAGGUCAUUAAUGCCUCCCUUAUCUUUCAGAUACUGUAUAAUUUCAAAACAAAUAUUUUGUGCAUCAUUAUCAAGCGUAAAUAAUGAAACGAGUUCCUUCGAAAUCAGUUUGGUUUAUCGGGAUUUUCGUGUUAAUCUCAAUAAUGCAUAUGACAUCUUGCAUCACUUCAGGCUUGCCCACGCUUUGAGGGAAACGUCGAUUGAGAAAACCAAAUAUUUCACGCAUAUUUUCCUCAAACUAACUUGUCAAUAGGCCUAGAUUAAUUCUCUCCUCUCCAAUACGGUACAUAUUUAAACAAGAGUUCAUGGAGGGUAGGAGCAACAUGUUGCAGAGCUCUUUAUUGGAUUACAAUUUUCAAUGUUGAACACAUAAACAGGAUGCAGUUCUGGCUUUCGAUUCUACUUGUGAUUGUGGCGCUGAUGAGUAUUGGCUCCACCUCAUCCCAGUUCUCGUCUUCAGUCGCAGUUCCAUGGCGACAAUGGCCUCGUCAUGACGAUGAUAAUGUUUCUUACCACACUUUUAACAUUAAGCCGAAUUGUCCACGAGGUGCUUAUAAAGUUAAUGGUGUUUGGAGAUGCAGAUAAUGACUGCAUUAUGAAAAACACAUCGGAUUCGAAUGUUAAUUUGGAUAAAAAUCGACAAAUAAAUAGAGGUGGAUUUGUGUUAUUGCUGUGAUCAUGAAGAGAUGAAUAAAUAAGAAGAUUGACUUGACUGUGUUGCUUUUUCGCAAACAUUUUUGAUUACUGAGUGGAGUGGAUCAAUUUGAAUAAAUCUGUGAUACUUUCGAUCAAUUUUAAGAGAUAUCUUGCAAACAUUUUCAAGAACACCUUAUUCAUCAGUUAUAUUUUUUCAAUAAACUAAUACCUCAAA
Molecule: long non-coding RNA, 1860 nt
Filed under: Nilaparvata lugens (brown planthopper)
Lineage: Eukaryota; Metazoa; Arthropoda; Insecta; Hemiptera; Delphacidae
Description: uncharacterized LOC120350024, transcript variant X1
Source: RNAcentral